Long non-coding RNA from Hibiscus syriacus, 408 nucleotides. RefSeq lists it as uncharacterized. Lineage: Eukaryota; Viridiplantae; Streptophyta; Magnoliopsida; Malvales; Malvaceae. The record is from RefSeq and is a predicted model, not a curated record. The transcript has 3 exons.
AUGAUUAGGAUUAUUAUAUACAAGUUCUGUAGUGAGGCAAAGGGUCUGAUUGAGAUACGAACGAUUUAUGAGGAGCCUUCCAAGCAUCAUGUGCAAAUCAUCUAUAAUACCAGUAAUCAAUCAAAGCAUGAGCAGGGCCUCCAGCCAGUAAAACAAGCAGGAGGCCAUCAAAAGAAGCUAGAACAACAUUUGGUAAAUUCUAAGAGGAAUCCAUCAAAGGUUCUAUAAGCAGGAGAUAAAACAAUGCUGCUCCUGUUUGCUUAAUAGAGAGAUCUUGGGAUUGUGAUUCAUACCGAAGAGUGGGAAGAAUCAAAACUUUGAAGCAAUAAUGAAUUCAUAUGGGAUACGCAUAUGACUGAUGCAGUUUGCAAUGGUUUAAAAUUACUAUAUAAUUUUGUGUUUUGAGUA